Molecule: ribosomal RNA, 250 nt
Filed under: uncultured Bacillota bacterium
Lineage: Bacteria; Bacillati; Bacillota
Description: uncultured Firmicutes bacterium partial 16S ribosomal RNA
Rfam family: Bacterial small subunit ribosomal RNA
Source: RNAcentral
UACGUAGGGGGCGAGCGUUGUCCGGAAUUACUGGGCGUAAAGGGCGAGUAGGCGGUUGCGUAAGUCAGAUGUGAAAUACCAGGGCUCAACCCUGGGGCUGCAUUUGAAACUGCGUAACUUGAGUGCAGGAGAGGAAAGUGGAAUUCCCAGUGUAGCGGUGAUAUGCGUAGAUAUUGGGAGGAACACCAGUGGCGAAGGCGACUUUCUGGACUGUAACUGACGCUGAGGCGCGAAAGCGUGGGGAGCAAAC